Molecule: microRNA precursor, 69 nt
Filed under: anatid alphaherpesvirus 1
Lineage: Duplodnaviria; Heunggongvirae; Peploviricota; Herviviricetes; Herpesvirales; Orthoherpesviridae
Description: Anatid alphaherpesvirus 1 microRNA dev-mir-D9 precursor
Gene: dev-mir-D9
Source: miRBase by way of RNAcentral
CUCCGUUUGAACGUUCUGUACUGCCCGGCCGGUCUAAUGCGGAUUGCAGUCCAGAAUGUUCAAACGGAG